This 1005-nucleotide ribosomal RNA is filed under the name Samsoniella tortricidae. RNAcentral describes it as "SSU rRNA". It matches the Rfam family "Eukaryotic small subunit ribosomal RNA", at positions 47 to 1063 of the family's 1831-position model. The record is from RNAcentral. Lineage: Eukaryota; Fungi; Ascomycota; Sordariomycetes; Hypocreales; Cordycipitaceae.
AGCCAUGCAUGUCUAAGUAUAAGCAAUUAUACAGCGAAACUGCGAAUGGCUCAUUAUAUAAGUUAUCGUUUAUUUGAUAGUACCUUACUACUUGGAUAACCGUGGUAAUUCUAGAGCUAAUACAUGCUAAAAAUCCCGACUUCGGAAGGGAUGUAUUUAUUAGAUUAAAAACCAAUGCCCUCUGGGCUCCUUGGUGAUUCAUAAUAACUUUUCGAAUCGCAUGGCCUUGCGCCGGCCAUGGUUCAUUCAAAUUUCUUCCCUAUCAACUUUCGAUGUUUGGGUAUUGGCCAAACAUGGUCGCAACGGGUAACGGAGGGUUAGGGCUCGACCCCGGAGAAGGAGCCUGAGAAACGGCUACUACAUCCAAGGAAGGCAGCAGGCGCGCAAAUUACCCAAUCCCGAUUCGGGGAGGUAGUGACAAUAAAUACUGAUACAGGGCUCUUUUGGGUCUUGUAAUUGGAAUGAGUACAAUUUAAAUCCCUUAACGAGGAACAAUUGGAGGGCAAGUCUGGUGCCAGCAGCCGCGGUAAUUCCAGCUCCAAUAGCGUAUAUUAAAGUUGUUGUGGUUAAAAAGCUCGUAGUUGAACCUUGGGCCUGGCUGGCCGGUCCGCCUCACCGCGUGUACUGGUCCGGCCGGGCCUUUCCCUCUGUGGAACCUCAUGCCCUUCACUGGGUGUGGCGGGGAAACAGGACUUUUACUUUGAAAAAAUUAGAGUGCUCCAGGCAGGCCUAUGCUCGAAUACAUUAGCAUGGAAUAAUGAAAUAGGACGUGUGGUUCUAUUUUGUUGGUUUCUAGGACCGCCGUAAUGAUUAAUAGGGACAGUCGGGGGCAUCAGUAUUCAAUUGUCAGAGGUGAAAUUCUUGGAUUUAUUGAAGACUAACUACUGCGAAAGCAUUUGCCAAGGAUGUUUUCAUUAAUCAGGAACGAAAGUUAGGGGAUCGAAGACGAUCAGAUACCGUCGUAGUCUUAACCAUAAACUAUGCCGACUAGGGAUCGGACGAUGU